Molecule: ribosomal RNA, 253 nt
Filed under: uncultured bacterium
Lineage: Bacteria
Description: partial 16S ribosomal RNA
Rfam family: Bacterial small subunit ribosomal RNA
Source: RNAcentral
UACGUAGGUGGCAAGCGUUGUCCGGAUUUAUUGGGUUUAAAGGGUGCGUAGGCGGUCUAUUAAGUCAGUGCUGAAAUAUCCCGGCUUAACCGGGAGGGUGGCAUUGAUGCUGAUGGAUUUGAGUAAAGUUGAGGUAGGCGGAAUUGACGGUGUAGCGGUGAAAUGCUUAGAUAUCGUCAAGAACACCGAUAGUGUAGACAGCUUACUAAGCUUUAACUGACGCUGAGGCACGAAAGUGUGGGGAUCAAACAGG